GGUGCUGGUAGUUUAAAGGCAGAACAUCCGGUUGUGACCCGGAAGGUCUGGGUUCGAAUCCCGCCUGCACCC
RNAcentral lists this transfer RNA (72 nucleotides) under Chitinophaga nivalis. RNAcentral describes it as "tRNA-His". It matches the Rfam family "tRNA". Rfam says of the family: Transfer RNA (tRNA) molecules are approximately 80 nucleotides in length. Their secondary structure includes four short double-helical elements and three loops (D, anti-codon, and T loops). The record is from RNAcentral. Lineage: Bacteria; Pseudomonadati; Bacteroidota; Chitinophagia; Chitinophagales; Chitinophagaceae.